RNAcentral lists this long non-coding RNA (916 nucleotides) under Homo sapiens (human). Its description in RNAcentral is "HSALNT0314244". The record is from RNAcentral. Lineage: Eukaryota; Metazoa; Chordata; Mammalia; Primates; Hominidae.
CCUUCCUCAGAGGGGCCUCAGUGACCACCCCCUCCAAAAAUGGUAUUCUCUCCCCCAUUACCCUGCUUUGCUUUCUUCAUAGCUGGUGACAUUACCUGAGGAUAUGACACAGCUGUUCACCUGCAUUACUGCCUCUUUCCCACUAGAAAAGUCCCAAAAGCUGGAACUUUUCCUACUUCAUUUACUGUUUUAAAACCAGCUCCUAUGGCAGUGCCUGGCACAGAGUGGGCACUCAGAUAUUAGUUGAAUGACUGAGUGAUGGCAUGAGUACCCACUGGAGUGUCCCUUCCCAUCACAAUCAUGCAUGACCCUCUGUGGUCACAAAGCCCUGGUCUCACUGGUACCAAAAGCUGGAUGCCCUGGCCAGGGUGGCUGGGGACAGGAGGCCUGAGUUGAGAAUGACUGGAUGAGCCAGUGAGGGGCUAAGGGUGGAGCCCCAACACCAGAUCUACACCUACUGUCUGUGGGGCCUGGAAGGCAGCUGACCCUUGGUGAGCCUCAGUUUGCUCACUGAGAAAGACACCCUGCCCAACUGUUGCAUAGACUGAAAAUGCAAAGUGCACAAGAGUCUCUGGCCAGGACAGGCAUUGAAGGUCAGCUUGUUCUCCUCCUGGAGCUCAGCUCUGUGAUCAGGAAACCAAUUGUAAAGUCCAGAAUGAGGACACGGGCUCUACAUGGUGUGGAAUGGCAGUGAGACGGGCUAGGACUUCAGAACUCAACUGAUCACACACAGGAGGGAGAAGAACAACCAAGCUGGGCUUCAAGAUGCCUUAUUUGGACACUAGUUUUUGAUGUGUCUCUGAUGGUUAUUAACCAGACAUUUCAAGGGCAAGAAACUAUUUCCCCAAAACUACCUUUUGAGACAUUUCCAGAGGCUGCCCUGUCCUCUCUGUCCAGAGACUCAGCCCCGACUCAC